This 70-nucleotide transfer RNA is filed under the name Ficedula zanthopygia (yellow-rumped flycatcher). RNAcentral's name for it is "tRNA-Val". Lineage: Eukaryota; Metazoa; Chordata; Aves; Passeriformes; Muscicapidae. The record is from RNAcentral.
CAAGACGUAGCUUUAACGAAAGCAUUCAGCUUACACCUGAAAGAUAUCUGUCGACAUCAGAUCGUCUUGA